UUUUCAAUUUCAGAAUAUCUACAUACGUAAAUAUAGAGCUGUCUUUCCGUUUUCACGACAUUAAUUUAUUCUGGAUUCAUUACAUAUAUUUGAUUGACAGAGAGAAGAAGCGGCAUCAGGAUUAACAUAAGAAAAUCACUGCAUUAAUUAUAAAGUGUGUUUUAUUUUAUAUAUUAUUUUAUAUAUCAUGGUUCGAGAAAAAUAUUUCAUUUUAAUAUUUUUCAGAAUGAUGCAAUUUAAUCCCUUGAAUGUUAUAAUGUUACUCUAUACAACUUUCAUUGCUCUUAACUUUCCACAAAGUCCGAUAACUCCAAAAGAAGUAGAAGUGAAGGAGAAGAUUGAAUAUUUGUUAAAAGAAAUAGAAAAUGAGGAAUUUGAAAUAUAAGAGGAAGAAACUUUAGAUUUUUACAAUACAUAUGAAGUUCCAGAAGCGGAAAAUAUUGAUUUAUUAGAGAAAAAUGAAAGAAAAGAAUAUCUCCCGGAAGAAGUUAUUUGUAGCUCCGUUGAAGCAGGAAUAUCAAAUGAUUAUAAAAGGCAAGCUGUGAAAUACUGGAAGAGCGGUAAAACAGGAGCAAGAUCGCUUGAAGGAGUUAAAAGAAGAUACAGAAAAGUAACAUCGAUGCGACAAUUACGACGAUGGAAGGACCAAAUCAGUGCAGGAUAAUUAUUCAUGACAUUGACAUUGCUCGAUGGGCUUCUCGAGCACAAGAAGAGAAAAAUGUGGUAGGAUUCAAAGCUUCCGAAACAUUUAGAAGAUAAGUGUAAUACAUUUAUUGAAAAUGUAAAAUAUUAUAUUGAACGAUACGGCGUAGACAAUGUUUAUAAUUCGGAUCAGAGUGGAUUCCAACUUGAAUUUCACUCUGGUCGUACUUUAUCCCAAAAAGGUCUAAAAAAUAUAGAAGCUGUAAUACAAUCUACAUCAGCAACCAUACACAGUUAUACUAUACAGCCGACUAUUUCUGCAGAUGGUAAAAAAUCUAAGGUAUCCUGAAAGUAUAACGUUUGUGAACGCACCCAAAAUCGGGACUACUGAUAGGAUCCACUAGAUGCUUCGAAGCGCCGGAUAAAGACCACUCUUUGUACGCAGAAUACGCACAGAUUCGACGGCUGGAUAAAAAAGAGCGUGAAACGUAGGAAGAAUAACAGCAGUAAGUUUUACGUAAUUCACAUUAUCUUUGUAGUGUUCUUAUAUAGUAUUCCUGCAACGGCUACGUAGCGUCAGAUAUACGAGAUUUUGGAGCAUUUCGUCCAUAGACCUUAUAUAUAUGGACUGGUCAUACAUAGCAGAUCGUGUCCGGAGGAGGUUAGACAGAGAAACGUACUUUUCGGGACUUCUCUGUCUUUUCAUCUCCGGAAAUAUGUUUUGUGCAUGCGUGGAUUAAAUAAACUAUUCUGAUUGGUUGUACGCAACAUGAUAUAGUUUCUGCAAACAUGGCGAUGUAGGUAUCUGUGUUGUGCCAGAUAUUGGAUAGCGCUUGAUGGGAUAAAUGAUCUGAUCUUUUAAAAAGAUCUUAAAAAGAAGAAAACUUCACCAUGGUUGAAACAUGUGUCCUUUGCGGUGUGAAGUAUUGUACGAAAAAUAGUGUUUCUUUUCAUUCUUUCCCAACAAAUGAAAAAUAUAAAAAGUUAUGGAUGGAAGCGUACAAUUUAAGUACAAUAAAGAAAAAAAGUAAGAUUUGUUCACGUCACUUCAGUUCUUUACAAUUUAAAGCAUGGAAUGAAGGACGUAGAUUAUUGAAGAACGAUGCAGUUCCAUUAUUAUUUUUUGGAGAAAAUA
RNAcentral lists this unclassified non-coding RNA (1777 nucleotides) under Harpegnathos saltator (Jerdon's jumping ant). Its description in RNAcentral is "uncharacterized LOC112589564, transcript variant X2". The record is from RNAcentral. Lineage: Eukaryota; Metazoa; Arthropoda; Insecta; Hymenoptera; Formicidae.